Molecule: long non-coding RNA, 1100 nt
Organism: Tupaia belangeri chinensis (Chinese tree shrew)
Lineage: Eukaryota; Metazoa; Chordata; Mammalia; Scandentia; Tupaiidae
Exons: 3
Source: RefSeq, a predicted model, not a curated record
UCCCCAGGGGCAAUGGUCAGGCCCCUGAGACCUCUGCCCCUCCCUCGUUUCUCCCUCUCGGGAGUUGAGGCCCAGGCACACACAUCUGGGCUGUUUCUCAAGCUUGUCUGGGACUCACACCACACCGUUGGCCAUGCAGGACCUGAGUGCUACAACCACCGCACUCCGUAAAUGCCGUGCCUCUGUUCCUGUGCCAAGGGGGCCAGCCCAAGCUGGGCUGAGAAUUUCGAUUUCCCAGAAAGUCUGAAGAAGUAGGUGCAAACAUGAGUCAGCAUUCUUUGCCUUGACUCGUAUAUGCAAGUGCUUGAAUUUCACAGUGGUUCCCAAUGUCCUGAAGUGUGGCCAUUGAACUGGGCUCUGGAGACAAAGAAUUGUACUGACUUUCCCCUCUGGAGUCCAGGGAGUCAUAACUAGAGGAUCAGGGGGUCCAGGACGACUCAGGGCAAACCUGGAUUGGAGGAAAGUUACAUUCUCAUCGUCACCAACCUCUUGCUGAAAUUCGGCAUGUCUUUAAUUAUGGAUGCAAUCAAUAAACCACAGGAGACUGCAGUUCUGCAGCAUCAUCGUGCCGGUUAGUUUAUUUUACAUUAAAAUCAGGCACUGCAGAAGCUGAGGCACCGGCUGCGGAUGGGAAACCGGGGAGGCAGCGCAUGCACUGGACGCGUUGCCGGAGAAGAGGGGACCCUGACCACUCGGAAGUCUGAAUACACGGUAGCACGGAGCGUGACCUCGUGGAGACUGACAUCUGGAGUCACUGGAAGAUCUAGUUACGAGGGUCCGUGGUUGGAAGAUGGCACUCUGUCUCAGGCAGUCUCUGUUGGAGCCAGUUCCCUGAGUUUAGCAAACCGUGUGCGCGGCUGGUGUGUGAAUUCAGUGCUCUGUGAACUAGAGGAACGCGUGCAAGCCACGGACAGGCCGAGUGAAGCUGAGGAAGUCCAGCUUGAGGCCCAGCCCACACCUGGCUCAGCUCUGGAAGAGGCUCACAAGGAAGCCCUGGCCUGGACCUGCAGCCAGGGGUACAGGGGCUUUGGAGAAAAAUAGGCUUUUGAGCCUAGGGGAGAUCUCCACCGGGAGUCACAGGACGGCUCUCCUGGAAUAGU